This 449-nucleotide ribosomal RNA is filed under the name Staphylococcus aureus. Its description in RNAcentral is "bacterial SSU rRNA". It matches the Rfam family "Bacterial small subunit ribosomal RNA", at positions 1 to 439 of the family's 1533-position model. Lineage: Bacteria; Bacillati; Bacillota; Bacilli; Caryophanales; Staphylococcaceae. The record is from RNAcentral.
UUUAUGGAGAGUUUGAUCCUGGCUCAGGAUGAACGCUGGCGGCGUGCCUAAUACAUGCAAGUCGAGCGAACGGAUGAGAAGCUUGCUUCUCUGAUGUUAGCGGCGGACGGGUGAGUAACACGUGGAUAACCUACCUAUAAGACUGGGAUAACUUCGGGAAACCGGAGCUAAUACCGGAUAAUAUUUUGAACCGCAUGGUUCAAAAGUGAAAGACGGUCUUGCUGUCACUUAUAGAUGGAUCCGCGCUGCAUUAGCUAGUUGGUAAGGUAACGGCUUACCAAGGCAACGAUGCAUAGCCGACCUGAGAGGGUGAUCGGCCACACUGGAACUGAGACACGGUCCAGACUCCUACGGGAGGCAGCAGUAGGGAAUCUUCCGCAAUGGGCGAAAGCCUGACGGAGCAACGCCGCGUGAGUGAUGAAGGUCUUCGGAUCGUAAAACUCUGUUAU